This 301-nucleotide ribosomal RNA is filed under the name uncultured bacterium. RNAcentral's name for it is "partial 16S ribosomal RNA". It matches the Rfam family "Bacterial small subunit ribosomal RNA", at positions 509 to 807 of the family's 1533-position model. The record is from RNAcentral.
CAGCCGCCGCGGUAAUACGAAGGGUGCAAGCGUUAAUCGGAAUUACUGGGCGUAAAGCGUGCGUAGGCGGUUUGUUAAGUCUGUUGUGAAAUCCCCGGGUUCAACCUGGGAAUGGCAAUGGAUACUGGCAAGCUAGAGUGUGUCAGAGGAUGGUGGAAUUCCCGGUGUAGCGGUGAAAUGCGUAGAGAUCGGGAGGAACAUCAGUGGCGAAGGCGGCCAUCUGGGACAACACUGACGCUGAGGCACGAAAGCGUGGGGAGCAAACAGGAUUAGAUACCCCGGUAGUCCCUGUCUCUUAUAC